GCCUACGGGCAUUUGGUAAAUUCGAAAAGAUACAGAGAAGAUUAGCAUGGCCCCUGCACUAAGGAUGAUACGCUCAAUCAAAGAAAAGCUACCAAUUUUU
RNAcentral lists this small nuclear RNA (100 nucleotides) under Blumeria hordei DH14. Lineage: Eukaryota; Fungi; Ascomycota; Leotiomycetes; Helotiales; Erysiphaceae. The record is from RNAcentral.